CCUACGGGCGUCUGCAGUGAGGAAUAUUGGUCAAUGGGCUUACGCCUGAACCAGCCAAGUCGCGUGAGUGAAGACUGCCCUAUGGUUUUUCAACCUCUUUUGUCAGGUAGCAACACCGGCUACGUGUAGCCGGCCUGAGAGUACCUGAAGAAAAAGCCUCGGCUAACUCCGUGCCAGCAGCCGCGGUAAUACGGAGGAUGCGAGCGUUAUCCGGAUUUAUUGGGUUUAAAGGGUGCGUAGGCGGUUUGAUAAGUUAGAGGUGAAAUGUCGGGGCUCAACCCCGAAACUGCCUCUAAUACUGUUGGACUAGAGAAUAGUUGCGGUAGGCGGAAUGUAUGGUGUAGCGGUGAAAUGCUUAGAGAUCAUACAGAACACCGAUUGCGAAGGCAGCUUACCAAACUAUAUCUGACGUUGAGGCACGAAAGCGUGGGUAGCAAACAGGAUUAGAUACCCUGGUAGUC
Molecule: ribosomal RNA, 461 nt
Filed under: uncultured bacterium
Lineage: Bacteria
Description: partial 16S ribosomal RNA
Rfam family: Bacterial small subunit ribosomal RNA
Source: RNAcentral